UACGUAGGGGGCAAGCGUUGUCCGGAAUCAUUGGGCGUAAAGCGCGUGUAGGCGGCCUUGUAAGUCCGUUCUGAAAGCCCGGGGCUCAACCCCGGGAGGCGGAUGGAUACUGCAAGGCUCGAGUACGGAAGAGGCGAGUGGAAUUCCCGGUGUAGCGGUGAAAUGCGCAGAUAUCGGGAGGAACACCAAUGGCGAAGGCGGCAUCCUGGACCGGUAUUGACGCUGAGGCGCGAAAGCCAGGGGAGCAAACGGG
RNAcentral lists this ribosomal RNA (253 nucleotides) under uncultured bacterium. RNAcentral describes it as "partial 16S ribosomal RNA". It matches the Rfam family "Bacterial small subunit ribosomal RNA", at positions 524 to 776 of the family's 1533-position model. The record is from RNAcentral.